This is a long non-coding RNA of Fukomys damarensis (Damara mole-rat), 505 nucleotides long. RefSeq lists it as uncharacterized. The record is from RefSeq and is a predicted model, not a curated record. NCBI's taxonomy places the organism in Eukaryota, Metazoa, Chordata, Mammalia, Rodentia, Bathyergidae. The transcript is spliced from 3 exons.
AAGGAAGAAAAGAAGGAGAAGGAGAACAAGAGGAAAAGAGAAUAUUUAAAAUAGCUGUUUCUUGUGGAAACCAACUCAGAAGUUGACAGAAGAUUGUCAUGAACUCAGCAGCUUUGCUCAGCUGUGCUCCUCCUGUGCCUCGAUGUUUCUGCCUGGACGUCCGCAGGCCACGUACUGAAUCCCUCUGCAAUAUGAGCCACAUCUCCUCUCUAAAUUGUGUGCGUCAGAUAUGUUGUGCAGCAGUCAGAAAGCCGGUUAAUACCAAGAAGAAAUGGAAAGUGGAGACACAGACAACACAGCAUACAGAAGAGCCAGACUGAGCACAGGGAAGAUGAACAGAUUAAAGCUCGGCAUGAGAGGAAUGUUUUCCACCGUAUUACUUCUAUGUGAACUGAACAAGGCUAAUUACAGCACUGCAUUUGCUAAAGUUUAGAAAGAGUGCUUUUUAACUGCAUGUGAGAAUCACAGAGGCUCCUCCCGAGCACUCACAAUGAUUUGUUUUGAG